Molecule: non-coding RNA, 27 nt
Filed under: Homo sapiens (human)
Lineage: Eukaryota; Metazoa; Chordata; Mammalia; Primates; Hominidae
Source: RNAcentral
UGCCAAAGAGAGUCGUUCAGGUCUGGU